CCUACGGGGGGCAGCAGUGGGGAAUAUUGGACAAUGGGGGGAACCCUGAUCCGGCCAUGCCGCGUGUGUGAAGAAGGCCCUCGGGUUGUAAAGCACUUUCAGUGAGGAAGAACGCCUGGUGGUUAAUACCCAUCAGGAAAGACAUCACUCACAGAAGAAGCACCGGCUAACUCCGUGCCAGCAGCCGCGGUAAUACGGAGGGUGCGAGCGUUAAUCGGAAUUACUGGGCGUAAAGCGCGCGUAGGUGGCUUGAUAAGCCGGUUGUGAAAGCCCCGGGCUCAACCUGGGAACGGCAUCCGGAACUGUCAAGCUAGAGUGCAGGAGAGGAAGGUAGAAUUCCCGGUGUAGCGGUGAAAUGCGUAGAGAUCGGGAGGAAUACCAGUGGCGAAGGCGGCCUUCUGGACUGACACUGACACUGAGGUGCGAAAGCGUGGGUAGCAAACAGGAUUAGAUACCCCUGUAGUC
This 465-nucleotide ribosomal RNA is filed under the name Vreelandella stevensii. RNAcentral's name for it is "partial 16S ribosomal RNA". It matches the Rfam family "Bacterial small subunit ribosomal RNA", at positions 338 to 795 of the family's 1533-position model. The record is from RNAcentral. Lineage: Bacteria; Pseudomonadati; Pseudomonadota; Gammaproteobacteria; Oceanospirillales; Halomonadaceae.